UCUCUGAGAAGCUAAGAAUAUCCUAAAGAAAAGAUAUGGGGUGAGGAGGGAGACCUUUAGCCUGGUCUGAACCUUGUUAUCUCACACCAUGGGUCAGGGGAUGAUGCCACUACCUCCAAACUCCAAAACCCUCAAAGAACAGCUGCUCUGGUGGUUUCUUCCUGGCUCUGAGGGGGGCGGGGCCAUGGGAGGGGCGUUUUUGUACAAAGCUAAAACAUUGUGGGGACAGGGGUCCACGGUGAUUCAUUUCUAUGGGAAACCUUUACAAAAACAUCUCUGCUUGAUCCAACCCCACAGCUUCUUCACUUUGAGUCACAGGCCCAAGAGUGGCUUGGAUCAUAAUGCCUCCACCUCACUCCUGUCUACCUACCCAGGCAAGGCCAAGGAUAAGGACAAGCCUGGAUCAGAACUGAAGCUUCCAGGCAGAGAGCACAUAUAUGACCUGGAACAGGUGAACCCACCCACGGUCAAUGUGUUCGAACCAUCCGAAGCAGAGAUUGCCCGGACACAGAAGGCCACACUUGUGUGCCUGGCCACAGGCUUCUACCCCGACCACGUGGAGCUGAGCUGGUGGGUGAAUGGGAAGGAGAUCCAGAGUGGGGUCAGCACAGACCCUCAGCCCUACAAGGAGCAGCCCCACCUUGAGAACUCCACCUACUGUCUGAGCAGCCGGCUCAGGGUCUCUGCUACCUUCUGGCACAAUCCUCACAACCACUUCCGCUGCCAAGUCCAGUUCUUUGGGCUAGAUGAGGCAGACAAGGACGCCCGGCCCACAGCCAUCACCCAGAAUGUCAGUGCUGAGGCCUGGGGCAGAGCAGAUUGUGGCUUCACCUCAGCAUCCUACCAGCAAGGGGUCCUGUCUGCCACCAUCCUCUAUGAGAUCCUGCUGGGGAAGGCCACUGUGUAUGCGGUGCUGGUCAGCGCCCUGGUGCUGAUGGCCAUGGUCAAGAGAAAGGAUUCCUGACACCAGCUCCGAGGUGCAGCCAGGAACUUCCAGCCUAUUAUAUUCCCAACAUGGAUUCCCCUUUUCCCCUUCCUAGCCAGUGCUUCUGAAGAGCUGUCUCAAUCUCUCAAUUCAUCCUUAUAUCCACUCGCUAUAUACUUGCACAGCUGAACCCUCAUGACUAAAAUCUCCCUAACCCCAGGGGAUCCUGGUGUGCCUACAUUGACUGAACCAAUAAAAAUGGCCUGUUCUGGCUUGAUUCUG
Non-coding RNA from Pipistrellus kuhlii (Kuhl's pipistrelle), 1207 nucleotides. NCBI's taxonomy places the organism in Eukaryota, Metazoa, Chordata, Mammalia, Chiroptera, Vespertilionidae. The record is from the annotation of a RefSeq genome assembly.